AGCAUAAAAAUAGUUUAAAGAUUGUAGUUGUAGUCUAAAAGCUUUAUUUAUUAAUCAUAAUACGACAUAAUUUCAACUCCAAGUCACAACACAAUAACGAUAAGACUUGUAAUUUGGUACCUAAUUCAUCAUUAUUGAUAUAAAGUAUUGCUGAGUGCACAAAUUCUGGAAUCAUAUGUCUUGGAGCUCUUUUAGCAAUUUACUUUCAUUACAGAACAUUGUCAUAGCCGAUUGAAUCAAGAAAAUUCAUUUUAUCCACUGGAAACAGACAAGGUGGUAUCAUAAAGGAACAUUACAAACACUCUGGAUGCUAUGUGUUACAGAGCAUUGGUUGUUUCAAUCCUCUCACUUCAGUAAAUAGCAGUAUGGAAAGUCCUAAAGCAAGCU
This 387-nucleotide long non-coding RNA is filed under the name Agrilus planipennis (emerald ash borer). RNAcentral's name for it is "uncharacterized LOC108744271, transcript variant X1". Lineage: Eukaryota; Metazoa; Arthropoda; Insecta; Coleoptera; Buprestidae. The record is from RNAcentral.